UACGUAGGGGGCGAGCGUUGUCCGGAAUUACUGGGCGUAAAGCGCCUGUAGGCGGGAACGUGCGUCGGACGUGAAAGGCGGGGGCUUAACCCCCGAGCGGCGUUCGAAACGGCGUUUCUUGAGGGUCGAAGAGGAGCGUGGAAUUCCUGGUGUAGCGGUGAAAUGCGUAGAGAUCAGGAGGAACACCCAUGGCGAAGGCAGCGCUCUGGUCGGCAUCUGACGCUGAGAGGCGAAAGCGUGGGGAGCGAACGGG
This 253-nucleotide ribosomal RNA is filed under the name uncultured microorganism. Its description in RNAcentral is "partial small subunit ribosomal RNA". It matches the Rfam family "Bacterial small subunit ribosomal RNA", at positions 524 to 776 of the family's 1533-position model. The record is from RNAcentral.